GGGUAAUUAGUCCAGCGAAGAUACUUGAUUUCGGCUCAAGAGAUUGAGGUUCAAACCCUCAAUUACCCU
Molecule: transfer RNA, 69 nt
Filed under: Stenobrachius leucopsarus (northern lampfish)
Lineage: Eukaryota; Metazoa; Chordata; Actinopteri; Myctophiformes; Myctophidae
Description: tRNA-Arg
Rfam family: tRNA
About the family: Transfer RNA (tRNA) molecules are approximately 80 nucleotides in length. Their secondary structure includes four short double-helical elements and three loops (D, anti-codon, and T loops).
Source: RNAcentral